GACGAACGCUGGCGGCGUGCCUAAUACAUGCAAGUAGAACGCUGAAGAGAGGAGCUUGCUCUUCUUGGAUGAGUUGCGAACGGGUGAGUAACGCGUAGGUAACCUGCCUUGUAGCGGGGGAUAACUAUUGGAAACGAUAGCUAAUACCGCAUAACAAUGGAUGACACAUGUCAUUUAUUUGAAAGGGGCAAUUGCUCCACUACAAGAUGGACCUGCGUUGUAUUAGCUAGUAGGUGAGGUAACGGCUCACCUAGGCGACGAUACAUAGCCGACCUGAGAGGGUGAUCGGCCACACUGGGACUGAGACACGGCCCAGACUCCUACGGGAGGCAGCAGUAGGGAAUCUUCGGCAAUGGGGCAACCCUGACCGAGCAACGCCGCGUGAGUGAAGAAGGUUUUCGGAUCAUAAAGCUCUGUUGUAAGUCAAGAACGAGUGUGAGAGUGGAAAGUUCACACUGUGACGGUAGCUUACCAGAAAGGGACGGCUAACUACGUG
Molecule: ribosomal RNA, 496 nt
Filed under: uncultured bacterium
Lineage: Bacteria
Description: partial 16S ribosomal RNA
Rfam family: Bacterial small subunit ribosomal RNA
Source: RNAcentral